CCAGAGUACAGUAUCAGCUGAGCUGACCUUACUCUGAGGACUAACUCUUUUGCUGGAAGCGGUUCCUGAUUUACAGCUCUUGGUUUCUCCCAGACAUGUUGGUGGGAGAGAUUUUGCUUUUUAAGGGGUUGUUAGAUGGAGUAAAUUUUCUUUUUUUUUUUUUUUUUACUAAAAAGAGGUCACAAAAUUUCAGCAGUUCUCUGAUUUUUAUAUUUUAUUCCUCUUCCUAUCCAAUCCCUGCCUUUUGAGUCCAGGUGGUAAGUACAUUUUCUUUAACGUUUUUCCUGCUUUUCUUCCCAAAUGUGUCUUUUUCUUUGGGCUACUGUACCCUGCUUCCAGUGCUGUCCCCGGCAUAGGUCCAUCUCUGCAGAAGCCAUUUCAGGAGUACCUGGAGGCUCAACGGCAGAAGCUUCACCACAAAAGCGAAAUGGGCACACCACAGGGAGAAAACUGGUUGUCCUGGAUGUUUGAAAAGUUGGUUGUUGUCAUGGUGUGUUACUUCAUCCUAUCUAUCAUUAACUCCAUGGCACAAAGUUAUGCCAAACGAAUCCAGCAGCGGUUGAACUCAGAGGAGAAAACUAAAUAAGUAGAGAAAGUUUUAAACUGCAGAAAUUGGAGUGGAUGGGUUCUGCCUUAAAUUGGGAGGACUCCAAGCCGGGAAGGAAAAUUCCCUUUUCCAACCUGUAUCAAUUUUUACAACUUUUUUCCUGAAAGCAGUUUAGUCCAUACUUUGCACUGACAUACUUUUUCCUUCUGUGCUAAGGUAAGGUAUCCACCCUCGAUCCAAUCCACCUUGUGGUUUCUUAGGGUGGAAUGUGAUGUUCAGCAGCAAACUUGGAACAGACUGGCCUUCUGUUUGUUACUUUCAAAAGGCCCACAUGAUACAAUUAGAGAAUUCCCACCGCACAAAAAAAGUUCCUAAGUAUGUUAAAUAUGUCAAGCUUUUUAGGCUUGUCACAAAUGAUUGCUUUGUUUUCCUAAGUCAUCAAA
Molecule: small RNA, 990 nt
Filed under: Pan troglodytes (chimpanzee)
Lineage: Eukaryota; Metazoa; Chordata; Mammalia; Primates; Hominidae
Description: retained intron
Source: RNAcentral